GGAUAUGAAGGUGACUUGACCAUGACAUCUGUUACCCCAUGGAAGGCCAGGGUUGAUCUGGCUGACAUAGCUGGCUAGGUUUCCCCUUCCUCCCUCACCACUCCAUGUGCAUCUUUCCCCAAGUUGUGUGCUCAGUCAGAGGACAGCCUUUUCACACAGAGUUGGAUCAUUCUUCAGAUGAAGGUAUACAAGUAGCUGUGCUCCCCUGCUAGAACAUCCAAACACACUCUCAAGAAAAUAUUUGUAUGGGUGAGUGGUCUUCUAGCAGUGCUCAGGAGGCUCCUGUGAUACUCAGCCUGACUAUGCAGGUCUGGUGGUUC
Molecule: small nuclear RNA, 320 nt
Filed under: Sorex araneus (European shrew)
Lineage: Eukaryota; Metazoa; Chordata; Mammalia; Eulipotyphla; Soricidae
Description: 7SK RNA (ENSSARG00000017911.1)
Rfam family: 7SK RNA
About the family: 7SK was discovered as an abundant small nuclear RNA in the mid-70s but a possible function has only recently been suggested.
Source: RNAcentral